Molecule: long non-coding RNA, 799 nt
Filed under: Capsicum annuum
Lineage: Eukaryota; Viridiplantae; Streptophyta; Magnoliopsida; Solanales; Solanaceae
Description: long non-coding RNA (CANN_LNC000991)
Source: RNAcentral
AAAGAAACAAGGCACCAAUAGAGUAAUACUAUGAACUAUCUAUCCCAAAUCACAAACAAAACCAAAAUACUACGAACAAGAAACUACAAGACACGUCCAGAACACAAUGACUACAGGCAAAACUACAAACAGAGACCCCCUCCCUACUACUAAGGACGCACUCCUACCCACUAACCCUCUACCCUAAUCUACGUCCUCCACACCUUUCAAUCAAGGGUCAUGUCCUACGUAACCUAUAACUGCUCAAUGUCAUGCUUAAUCACCUCCCUCCAAUAUUUCUUCAGCCUACCUCUACCCUAUCUGAAUACACAGCAUUAUUCAUUUGAGAAAAAAAAUAUGAAGAACACAUGAGAAAAAUCCACCGAAAAUCAUUAGCAUUAUAACCUUACUGCACGGAACAAAAUACAGAAACCAACCAAGUGAAAGGCCACUAGGAAACAAUAAAAAAACCAUGUCAUUAAAGAGUGAUAUGUAUAUCACUAGAUUCAAAAAACCAUGAGAAGAAAAAUUCACAAAUCCCUAGAUUUACACAUAUAAACAACAACAACAAACCCAGUGUAUUCCCACAUAGUAAGGUCUGGGAAGGGUAAGAUGUACGCAGUCCAUACCUCUACCUCUAAAGAAGUAGAAAGGUUGUUUCUGAUAGACCCCCGGCUCGAGACACGGAAUACUUAACAAAUUCAUAGUAAAGCAUGGAACAAGAUGGCAUAACAUAAAUACGACACCCACAAGUAAUAGAAAACAGAGAAAAGUAAACAGAUUCGUAAUAAAGCAUGAAACAAGGUAUCAUAACAAGAAU